This is a long non-coding RNA of Daphnia pulicaria, 326 nucleotides long. RefSeq lists it as uncharacterized. NCBI's taxonomy places the organism in Eukaryota, Metazoa, Arthropoda, Branchiopoda, Diplostraca, Daphniidae. The transcript has 3 exons. The record is from RefSeq and is a predicted model, not a curated record.
UUUUUAUCAUGAAAAUCUUCAGUGUGCUUCUUAGUAUAGAGCACGUAAUAGAUCCUUAAGCCAAUGCUGACCUUUGUCCAUGAAGGAAGAGGGACAUCCAGCAACGUUCUGCUCCAUCCUUAUCUUCCCGACGUACACUCAUCUAGCUUCACUGCUUUUGCUGUUACAACUUCACCGACGAGUGUCUUACUUCACCGACGAGUUGGAACACUUCAGUGGUCGCUACCCUUUGCUGAUACACACCUACAGUUACUCACCACGGGAUUAUGCCCAGGUAAUGCAGAAGAGACGUCGAGAAGAUGGACGCCAAAACAUCGCCGGUAUCU